ACGAGGCUGACGCGGCGGCCCUGUCCCCGUAACUGUGACACGGGUGCACGCGAGCGUCAUUGGGGGCGAUGGGGGCCGUGCUGGGUGCGCGUUUGCACCAGUGACGCAGCCGCUGCAUCUCCGCCAGUCCGCGCAGCCAGCAUCCUUCAGAAAAAGCAUCCCCGAGGAGGAAGACGAAUCGUUAAACAUCUGAAAGGGUCAGCCAGCAUCCUUCAGAAAAAGCAUCCCCGAGGAGGAAGACGAAUCGUUAAACAUCUUAGGUCAGUCUAGCCUCUCGGAAUUUGUCUUCUUCAGUGGAAACCCCGAGAAGACUGAUCAGUUCUUCAGUUCUAAAACAAUGGCCCAGGUUUGGUGACGUUCGCCGACGUAGCCAUAGACUUUUCUCAGGAGGAGUGGGCCUGUCUGAACUCUGCUCAGAGGGACCUGUACUGGGACGUGAUGCUGGAGAACUACAGUAACUUGGUCUCACUGGUUUGGAGUCAGCAUAUGAAAAUAAGAGUUUACCUACAGAAAAAAACAUUCAUGAAAUAAGGGCUUCCAAAAGGAAUUCAGAUAGAAGAAGUAAAUCCCUUGGCCGUAACUGGAUAUGUGA
RNAcentral lists this long non-coding RNA (592 nucleotides) under Homo sapiens (human). Its description in RNAcentral is "HSALNT0262090". The record is from RNAcentral. Lineage: Eukaryota; Metazoa; Chordata; Mammalia; Primates; Hominidae.